Molecule: long non-coding RNA, 227 nt
Filed under: Lathyrus oleraceus (garden pea)
Lineage: Eukaryota; Viridiplantae; Streptophyta; Magnoliopsida; Fabales; Fabaceae
Description: Pisum sativum (pea) long non-coding RNA (PSAT_LNC028543)
Source: RNAcentral
AGACACGAGUAUUAUCACUGCAUUCAUCCAUCCAUAUACCAACAACAUACAUAUCACAACAUAUGCAUCAAAAUAAUUAAAAUUGAAAGGAUAAAAAUGAUUUCAAACAAAAUGAAAAAUGCAUGUACACAUUCAACUCAGUGUUCAUCAUACAAACAUCACCUCAACAUCCAUAACAUACAUCAAUAACUUGCAUCAUUCAGCACACAACAUUCAUCAAUUAAAAU